RNAcentral lists this ribosomal RNA (654 nucleotides) under Salmonella enterica. RNAcentral describes it as "partial 23S ribosomal RNA". It matches the Rfam family "Bacterial large subunit ribosomal RNA", at positions 2261 to 2909 of the family's 2925-position model. The record is from RNAcentral. RNAcentral also lists the same sequence under 2 other names. Lineage: Bacteria; Pseudomonadati; Pseudomonadota; Gammaproteobacteria; Enterobacterales; Enterobacteriaceae.
GUGGGUAGUUUGACUGGGGCGGUCUCCUCCUAAAGAGUAACGGAGGAGCACGAAGGUUGGCUAAUCCUGGUCGGACAUCAGGAGGUUAGUGCAAUGGCAUAAGCCAGCUUGACUGCGAGCGUGACGGCGCGAGCAGGUGCGAAAGCAGGUCAUAGUGAUCCGGUGGUUCUGAAUGGAAGGGCCAUCGCUCAACGGAUAAAAGGUACUCCGGGGAUAACAGGCUGAUACCGCCCAAGAGUUCAUAUCGACGGCGGUGUUUGGCACCUCGAUGUCGGCUCAUCACAUCCUGGGGCUGAAGUAGGUCCCAAGGGUAUGGCUGUUCGCCAUUUAAAGUGGUACGCGAGCUGGGUUUAGAACGUCGUGAGACAGUUCGGUCCCUAUCUGCCGUGGGCGCUGGAGAACUGAGGGGGGCUGCUCCUAGUACGAGAGGACCGGAGUGGACGCAUCACUGGUGUUCGGGUUGUCAUGCCAAUGGCACUGCCCGGUAGCUAAAUGCGGAAGAGAUAAGUGCUGAAAGCAUCUAAGCACGAAACUUGCCCCGAGAUGAGUUCUCCCUGAGACUUAGAGUCUCCUGAAGGAACGUUGAAGACGACGACGUUGAUAGGCCGGGUGUGUAAGCGCAGCGAUGCGUUGAGCUAACCGGUACUAAUGAAC